This is an RNA transcript of Metopolophium dirhodum (rose-grain aphid), 3030 nucleotides long. It is a transcript of the gene named zinc finger protein 561-like, with no coding region annotated. The transcript has 4 exons. The record is from RefSeq and is a predicted model, not a curated record. NCBI's taxonomy places the organism in Eukaryota, Metazoa, Arthropoda, Insecta, Hemiptera, Aphididae.
AAUGCAUGAUAACAAUAAUAAUUAAUAAUAUUAUAUUAUAAUAUUAUAUAUUAUAAUAUUAUGUAGUACUUAUGUACAUUUUUAUUCGUAAUGACUUCCCGAGUCUUGUCGUUUUAAUUUCAUUUGGGUAAUUUGUCAUGGAAUUGCUCAAUUGCUGUAAAAAAAUCAUCAUGUACAAUAUGAAUAGGCUGUGUUCUCGGGAAAGAAACCUUACAAACAGGACAACGCUGUAUCCGUUCUGCACAUCCGUCACAGCACCAUCCAUGGCCACAUGGUAAAAAAAUGUUUUCCGCGCCAACCUCAUCGUGAUUUUCUUAACAAACAAAAUAUCUGUCGAGGUCUUCAUCUACACAAUAAAAAAAAUUUACCUAUUGGUGGAUUAUUUACUCCUCAGCCUCUGUCCUGUAUAUGUCCAAUUAGUCUUCCUCUACGUCUUGGAAUCCUAUUAUUUGGGACUGGACCAACGACUUGCAUAUUACCACGACUACGGCAUCUAAUCCUACGAGGUAGUAGUGGUGGUGGGAGUGGUAGGGGUUCCAAAAUAAUGGCACCUACUUGUUGUUUGAUAUCUAGAUUAUAAGGUAAAUAUAAUUAUAGUUGGCUGUAAAAACAGAACUUAUUUUCAAGUUUACUAUUCGGAAUGGGGCCUAUUUGCUCAUUUAAAUAAUUAUUUGAUGAGUAUGCUACUUUUCAAAGGUAGGCCAUAGUGUUGCUCCGUCCAUUUUGUACAAGCCGUAAUGCAUCAGCCAAGAUAUUCUUGUUAGUAUCCCUAGAAGUAAUAAUUGAUCUCCUUACCUAGAACAGUAUGUUUCAAUAAGUUUUACAAUUAUAUACAAUAUGUACUGACAGCUUGUAUGAAAGAAUAAUAAUUUUUUUUAGUUAGGUAAAUUAAAUGUAUUACUUGUUGACCAUAAAUUAUUUGACGAGUUUCUCUUCGUACUCGAUUUUCUACAGAAUGCAGCCCAUCUAUAAUAAUUAAAUUAUGUAUGUAAUUGUGGUUAAUAUACUUAAAUAAGCUACUAAAUUAAUUUUUAAAAAAAAUCACCCCAAAAAGUCCAAACCGGUGGAUGUUGGCCAAUAGAGGUUUUCAACAUGCUGUGAAAACUCUCUAUAAAAUUAUUGGUCCGAAUAUUUAGACCAAAAACAGAAAAUCCAUCUGGAUGAAUAAUAUUCAACCAGAAAUUUUGAAUGUAUUCAAAAACAUUUUCAAGAUGUACAGAUACAUCCAUACUUCUUGCUAAUUCUUGAAUAGCCAUGAAACCUCCAAGAAUGUGGAAAUAAUUUGGGAGGUCUUGACAUAUACCAGAUGGCAAAUGAGCUAAUGCUAUAACUUGUGGGAAUAAAUAUUUAUGUACUUUAUUUUCCUGAUUUUAGUUAAAAAUUUAAUUUAAUACAUUUAAGAGGCGUCCUUGCCAUCUUAAAGACAUAAUAGUCUCUCCCAAAGCCCUCAAAGUGUAUGGUACUUCUGGACUAAAUCUACGCUGAACCUGGCGUAUUACUCUAAGGGCAUGUUCCCUUGAUACCUCUAUUGCUGCAUUGGGAUAUCUGAAAACAAUAGACAUCUUCAUAAAUUGCUCUUGCUGGUAUAUCCUUGUUAGAAGCUCUGAGUCUUAAUGCUGCUAAAUAUUGGCCAAUCUCAAUAUCAUUACCUGGCCUAUGAUUAUGUGGCUGGUACAUAACAAUUGGUUCAUUCUUGGGAAAUAGUGACAUGGAUGCAGUCGAUCCACAACCUCGUUUAUAAAAUUGAACAUCGUAACUGCCUACAACUAUAAUAUUUUUAUUUAUAAUUUUUUAUGUACAUUUAUUAUUUUAUUUAUAUAUUAACAUUCGAUUGGUAGAUACAUGAUUUUUAACUUAGGUGUAAUCUUGUGGAUCUGCAUAUAUUAAAUUGCCUCUCAUACCUGAAAUUCUUCUAGAUUGCAAAUUAUCAUCAACAUUUCCCAAAAGAUGAGGAAUGUUAAUCAUAAUUGGAGAUAGAGAUCUAGAACGCGGUGUUGGAUCACUUUGGGAAUUUAAAUUAAUUAAAUUAAUAUAAUUUAACAAAUAAUUUUAAUACCAAAAAAGUUAUUUUAUUUAAGUAUUUAUUGCUGUAAAAUUUUCUCUUUUUUGUUUCUUAAAUACAUGAAAAUUUGAAAAUAAUUAAAGUGUACACAAUUUAAAUCCAAUUUUUAAACUAUUUAUCUAUAAUUUUAAUUAAUUAAUUAAUUUUUCAAAUCAAUAUUUGAAUGAGUUCAAAUAGUUGAAUCAAGGAGAAUUAUUAUUGAAUCUAAUGUAACGACUUAUGGAUUGAUUAUAUAGUGGGAGAAUAUUAUUAUUUAAAGUUAAUAGCAGAUUCCUCGGAAUAUGUUUGAAACACAUUAUAACAUACAAAAAUACUGUAAUCUUAAGUUUGUAUGCUGGUAUAGUAAUUAUACCUACUUAGAUCUACUAAGUUUCUGGAGAUUGAAAAUUGAAAAUGAUAAAAUAAUUGCAAUAUUAGAACUAUUACAUAACUAUUGCUAUAAUAAUAUACUUUAUAAUUCGGAAUAAAUUGAAUCAAAAUAUUAUUUUUUUCUAAGCUAGACGAAAUCUAGUGCACUUCUUCCCGAUUUUAGACUAGACCAUUAUUAUAUUUUAUUUAUGGUAUAGUUAUUACUUAUUUUUGAUUUGAUUUUAGAUUCUGAGCAGAGAGAUGAAUAUAUUGAUUUUACAAUGAUUUGUUUUUUUUGUGUCUAAAAGCUCCUACUAUAUUGUUACAAUGACAUUUUAGUCACAGUUUUUUUUUUAUAAGCAUUUAAAGUUCAAAACUUGACAAAAUAUGGAAAAAUCACGAAAAUUAGCAAAUUAUUUUAAAUUAAGAAUUCAUAAAAAUUUUUCUUUUUAAAUCUAAAAUUAUAAAAUGUAAUACAAGAUUCCUUAUAAGAUUAUCUAUCUAUUCUAUCUAAAUCAAAAAAAAAAAUGCCUAUAAGAAAGUCAAAUUAAAUUCUUAUAAGUGUUUGAAAUUCAAGUUUUUACAACAUUGGAUAUUCACUCGAUUUCUCAUGUAGCGAU